RNAcentral lists this ribosomal RNA (497 nucleotides) under uncultured bacterium. Its description in RNAcentral is "bacterial SSU rRNA". It matches the Rfam family "Bacterial small subunit ribosomal RNA", at positions 28 to 521 of the family's 1533-position model. The record is from RNAcentral.
GAUGAACGCUAGCGGCAGGCUUAAUACAUGCAAGUCGAGGGGCAGCACGGUUAGCAAUAACUGGUGGCGACCGGCGCACGGGUGCGUAACACGUAUACAAUCUACCUUAAACAGGGGGAUAGCCUUUCGAAAGAGAGAUUAAUACCCCGUAAUAAAUUGAACGGCAUCGUUUGAUUUUGAAAGCUCCGGCGGUUUGAGAUGAGUAUGCGUCUGAUUAGCUAGUUGGUGAGGUAACGGCUCACCAAGGCGACGAUCAGUAGGGGAUCUGAGAGGACUAACCCCCACACUGGUACUGAGACACGGACCAGACUCCUACGGGAGGCAGCAGUAAGGAAUAUUGGUCAAUGGAGGCAACUCUGAACCAGCCAUGCCGCGUGCAGGAUGACGGCCCUAUGGGUUGUAAACUGCUUUUGAACGGGAAGAAAUCUAUUUACGUGUAAAUAGUUGACGGUACCGUUAGAAUAAGGAUCGGCUAACUUCGUGCCAGCAGCCGCGGU